Molecule: long non-coding RNA, 2353 nt
Organism: Carassius auratus (goldfish)
Lineage: Eukaryota; Metazoa; Chordata; Actinopteri; Cypriniformes; Cyprinidae
Exons: 5
Source: RefSeq, a predicted model, not a curated record
GGGAUCUAAAAUAUGGUAAUGCAGAGUAAAGCAUUAAUAUGUGCUUUAUAAGUACUAAUAAACAUCCAAUGUGCUAGUAAUGUGCAUGCCAAUACGCCACUGGGGAGUAGUAAGAAAUGGUCCCUAAACAAAUUAUUUGUAUUAAUUGUAUUUUACAUGAUUCGCCAUCUGUGCAAUGAUCUUCUCGUAGUAAGGUAAAGUAUUUCACACUUUUCUCUGAGACUGAAAAAGAGCAGAGCAGGUCACCCAGUGUGGUGCCUCUCAUCUUUUGUGUGCUGGUUUCCUCAUGCCAGCUUUCUGCUGUCACAUUAGUGCAUGUCAAAUACCAAACCUCACAUGCAAAUUAAAUCUUAGACUUUUAGCUUUUUGUUAGCUCAGAGGCUUCCUUUGCUAACAGGAAGUACUUUUUAGUCUUUCAAACCGAUUUGCUAAGUGUCAUCAUGUUUGUCUUUCCUUUCUAAGUGUCUCUGAGGGGUGUUUUGGAGCGAUUGUUUACACCUGCUGCAAUGGGUAAGUGGGAGCAAGAAUCCUUCAUCAUAUAAUGAGCUCCUGGCAGAACCUCACCACUGAAUAUUUCCCUCUGGCCAGUGGAGUAGCAAACCAGAUAUACAGUUAUAUCAACCAUGUGUGAUUGUGAAGUUUGUGUGGGUAUGUGUUAGACGAUCAGUGAGAGUGGUCAGCCUGUUACAGGUCAAAGUUCAUGGUCAUCAAUGGUUGAGGUAGACGGCUCUCCAUCUGGUGGGGACUUGGCCUCUGAGGGUCAGGGCUUAAAAAGUGUAGAUCUUUGGCACUGCAGCUGCAUGUCAUGAAUUGAAUGAAAGCAGGCACUUGAGCAACUAUGUGUGCACCAAGUAAAAAGCACAAUGUAGGAGCAUUAGUAUGCUAAUGAGGUGCGGGGCGACAGGUGGCCUGCUAGACAGCUCAAUUAAGCAGCUCGUUAAAGGCCAAGCUAACGAAGCGGCCUGCACUGCAAGCCUCAACAAACAAUGUGACUGUGCAGGCUACAAAUUGCUUCCAGCGGAACAUUGAGAGGAUGUGCCACCCAUUUUUUAAAGAUGUUCAGGUUUUUGGUGAACAAUUAGUGUGAGGCUGACGGAGAUGGUCUCGACCCCUGGUUGCUGCGAACAUUAUAGGGAUGCAGAGGAGGGAUGGAGAGAUGCGUUCCUCAUAAAGAAUCCUGCUGAGACAAUAGAACAGCACACAGGCACUUGGGGAACAGAAGGGUGACACAGAGGGCAGCUCUUACCCACAACAACUCUCCUCCUUUGAAAACAAAACCCCAACCUGUUACUGCUUCAAUCUGUCUGUGGGAGGGGAUGCUCGUAAUAAAGCUGCCAGCCCCCUUGUUAGGCAUCAUGAGGGAUCAAGGGAGCAGGUUGUGGUAACAUUUGUAGCAUUUGGCUGCAGCAAAUCACACAGCUUUUUUCCUGAAAAGAAGCAGCCACCUUAAAAGGGGGGCUGUCCUCCAGUGAAGACCCUGGUCUUUCUCCUGCUCUCAGCCUGCGCUCAGCGGUCUGCAUGCCCCUCACCAUCGCUUGCAAAUCCCCCUUUAUCCGCUGGCAGCCAGAUGGGGUGGCAGGAAUAAUAGGCAGAGCCUGAUGAGCACCAUUCAAUUUGUCCAGCCGUGUAAAGGAGCUUGUAAGCCGUUCCAUUUGAGCAGGGUGUAAUAGUAGCCAGGGGAGCAGAGGCUAUGUUAAGACUUAAUUACCUACUAAUGGCUGUUGUAGGGACAAAAGACUUGUGUAGACCCCAACAACUUACACUCCUGUAAUAGAGGAGAAAGGCUGCGAGAGGAAGGGGUUGGGGGAAAUUGUUUGAGAUGUUGUGGCCAGAAAUUUGUGAUAUGCAUGUGUUAAAAAUGUCAUCAACACAACUGUGUUAAAGGUGUGUAUGAGGUGUGGAUGAAAAGAAAAAGGAGAAAGAAAAAGACUUUGCUGCAUGUACUUUGAUUUUCUUUAGAAAACAUUUUGGCUCAAAAACCUGUUAGAAAAGGUUUUCUUUUUUUCAUUGUUUUUUUCUUUUUCUUUUCUUAUUCUCUUUUUUCAGUUUGAGGGAAGAUUAGCAGGAUUAAGACUGACUCACAUAUGCUGCUUAUCACUACUGGUAUUCAACACAAGCCCAACUGCCACCCAGAUGGGGAGAGAAAGAGAAAGACAGAGGGUGAGAGGGAAAGUUUUCCUCUGAUAUUAAAGCAUUGCUACACUGAAUCAGAACUGUUUGGAAUAAUUGUGGAAGAGAAAAAGGCUGUUUAGUGAGAACGGGAGAAACCGUUAGAUGGUGAGAGGAGGGAAUCAUAAUGGAUUUAUGAUGGAAAAUAGUUCAAGGGGUGCAGGAUAUAGAGUGGGGUCCAAAA